RNAcentral lists this non-coding RNA (23 nucleotides) under Arabidopsis thaliana (thale cress). Lineage: Eukaryota; Viridiplantae; Streptophyta; Magnoliopsida; Brassicales; Brassicaceae. The record is from RNAcentral.
AUAGGCACAACUAUGUUGAUGGA